AAAUUGAAGAGUUUGAUCAUGGCUCAGAUUGAACGCUGGCGGCAGGCCUAACACAUGCAAGUCGAACGGUAACAGGAAGCAGCUUGCUGCUUUGCUGACGAGUGGCGGACGGGUGAGUAAUGUCUGGGAAACUGCCUGAUGGAGGGGGAUAACUACUGGAAACGGUAGCUAAUACCGCAUAACGUCGCAAGACCAAAGAGGGGGACCUUCGGGCCUCUUGCCAUCGGAUGUGCCCAGAUGGGAUUAGCUAGUAGGUGGGGUAAAGGCUCACCUAGGCGACGAUCCCUAGCUGGUCUGAGAGGAUGACCAGCCACACUGGAACUGAGACACGG
Molecule: ribosomal RNA, 332 nt
Filed under: Escherichia coli
Lineage: Bacteria; Pseudomonadati; Pseudomonadota; Gammaproteobacteria; Enterobacterales; Enterobacteriaceae
Description: bacterial SSU rRNA
Rfam family: Bacterial small subunit ribosomal RNA
Source: RNAcentral